Molecule: ribosomal RNA, 460 nt
Filed under: uncultured bacterium
Lineage: Bacteria
Description: partial 16S ribosomal RNA
Rfam family: Bacterial small subunit ribosomal RNA
Source: RNAcentral
CCUACGGGAGGCAGCAGUGGGGAAUAUUGGACAAUGGGCGUAAGCCUGAACCAGCGAAGCCGCGUGAGGGAUGAAGGUUCUAUGGAUCGUAAACCUCUUUUAUAAGGGAAUAACAUGCGGGGCGUGUCCCGUUUUGUAUGUACCUUAUGAAUAAGGAUCGGCUAACUCCGUGCCAGCAGCCGCGGUAAUACGGAGGAUCAGCGCGUUAUCCGGAUUUAUUGGGUUUAAAGGGUGCGUAGGCGGCCUUUUAAGUCAGCGGUGAAAGUCUGUGGCUCAACCAUAGAAUUGCCGUUGAAACUGGGAGGCUUGAGUACGUUUGAGGCAGGCGGAAUGCGUGGUGUAGCGGUGAAAUGCUUAGAUAUCACGCAGAACCCCGAUUGCGAAGGCAGCCUGCCAAGCCAUGACUGACGCUGAUGCACGAAAGCGUGGGGAGCAAACAGGAUUAGAUACCCCUGUAGUC